RNAcentral lists this long non-coding RNA (264 nucleotides) under Gorilla gorilla gorilla (western lowland gorilla). RNAcentral describes it as "lncRNA (ENSGGOG00000044514.1)". Lineage: Eukaryota; Metazoa; Chordata; Mammalia; Primates; Hominidae. The record is from RNAcentral.
GGGCCUUGCACUCUCAGACCACCGAUUCCAGGAGGGCUGGGUCAGAAAUCAUUUGCUGACUUCACUACUCACUCCUCUAAGGAGUGAGAGGAAAGGAAAACCAGAGGUGCCAUCUGCAGGUGGAUGGAGGAGCUCCAGACAAUCGACAGUUCCUGAAAGUUGCAGUCCUGCUGGAUGCGGAAGAGGGGAAAUUUCAGGACAGUUCCUGAAUAUUCAGGCCUUCAAAGCCCCAUUCAAGGCCAGCACAGUGCCUCCAGAAUAAAG